RNAcentral lists this ribosomal RNA (797 nucleotides) under uncultured bacterium. Its description in RNAcentral is "bacterial SSU rRNA". It matches the Rfam family "Bacterial small subunit ribosomal RNA", at positions 651 to 1449 of the family's 1533-position model. The record is from RNAcentral.
UCAGAGGGAGGUAGAAUUCCACGUGUAGCAGUGAAAUGCGUAGAGAUGUGGAGGAAUACCGAUGGCGAAGGCANCCUCCUGGGAUAACACUGACGUUCAUGCCCGAAAGCGUGGGUAGCAAACAGGAUUAGAUACCCUGGUAGUCCACGCCCUAAACGAUGUCGAUUAGCUGUUGGGCAGCAUGACUGCUUAGUAGCGAAGCUAACGCGUGAAAUCGACCGCCUGGGGAGUACGGUCGCAAGAUUAAAACUCAAAGGAAUUGACGGGGACCCGCACAAGCGGUGGAUGAUGUGGAUUAAUUCGAUGCAACGCGAAGAACCUUACCUGGUCUUGACAUGUACGGAACCCUCCAGAGACGGAGGAGUGCCUUCGGGAGCCGUAACACAGGUGCUGCAUGGCUGUCGUCAGCUCGUGUCGUGAGAUGUUGGGUUAAGUCCCGCAACGAGCGCAACCCUUGUCAUUAGUUGCCAUCAUUAAGUUGGGCACUCUAAUGAGACUGCCGGUGACAAGCCGGAGGAAGGUGGGGAUGACGUCAAGUCCUCAUGGCCCUUAUGACCAGGGCUUCACACGUCAUACAAUGGUCGGUACAGAGGGUGGCCAAGCCGCGAGGCGGAGCCAAUCUCACAAAACCGAUCGUAGUCCGGAUUGCACUCUGCAACUCGAGUGCAUGAAGUCGGAAUCGCUAGUAAUCGCAGGUCAGCGUACUGCGGUGAAUACGUUCCCGGGUCUUGUACACACCGCCCGUCACACCAUGGGAGUGGGGGAUACCAGAAGUAGGUAGGGUAACCGCAAGGAGC